RNAcentral lists this unclassified non-coding RNA (783 nucleotides) under Nilaparvata lugens (brown planthopper). Its description in RNAcentral is "uncharacterized LOC111044194, transcript variant X2". The record is from RNAcentral. Lineage: Eukaryota; Metazoa; Arthropoda; Insecta; Hemiptera; Delphacidae.
UUAGAAUAUCAUUCUACAAAUUAAUUUCCCAUUUUCCCAUUAGUUUCUUUUUUGUUAUGUUUUUUCAACUGAUCAUGUUUAAGUUUCUCCCUCAUAUUUCUUCAAUUCUUUUAAAUUCUCCUCCAUCUUGUUCAUUAUGCACCAUUGAUCCUGUACCUAUCAGUAUACCAGUACCAGUAUAUAUAUCAUCAUGAAAUUCAUCAUUUUCAAGUUCAAGAUGCCACCUCUUGAUUCCCAAAAUUUAUCAUAUCAUGCAUAAAUAAUUUUGCAUAGCCCAACUAUCAAAAAUUAAUUAUUGUAUGAACUUGCCUCGGAAUCAAUCCUUUAUGUCAUCAAUCAAGAUUGACACGACUGCACAUUAUGAAGCGUCUGUUCAAUUCUCAAUUUACACGCCAUGAUUGAUAAAUUUCUAUAAGCCUGCCUCAUAAGGAGUCUGCGAUCCUUAUGUUUCAAGGAGAAAGACGAUGAUCGUGAUGCACCACAAAAGUUGGGUACAAUUGUGGGGAAGAACCAGAACAAUCCGUCAUCUGGAAGGCUCAUACCAUGAAAGAGAAAUAAUUUCCUUUCUUGGGUGGAGUGUAGGCAGUUUAGUGGGUAUGCGCCCAGUUUUGCUUUUUCAACAAUAGUAGAUAUACCUUCAGCAUCCAAUAUAUAUAUUCCAUUGUUGAACAAGCAAAUCAGGGAAAGUGAGUCCCACACAUGGUGAUCCCAUCUUUCAGAUGAGAGCAUUAUAGUGCAUAACAGCAUUCUGCCGUCUCGUUUGAAAAAACGAGUAAAACAAAA